GUGGCUGUAGCUCAGCGGUAGAGCUCCCGGUUGUGGUCCGGGCGGUCGCAGGUUCAAAUCCUGUCAGCCACCCA
RNAcentral lists this transfer RNA (74 nucleotides) under Candidatus Kaiserbacteria bacterium CG10_big_fil_rev_8_21_14_0_10_49_17. RNAcentral describes it as "tRNA-His". It matches the Rfam family "tRNA". From Rfam's summary of the family: Transfer RNA (tRNA) molecules are approximately 80 nucleotides in length. Their secondary structure includes four short double-helical elements and three loops (D, anti-codon, and T loops). Lineage: Bacteria; Candidatus Kaiseribacteriota. The record is from RNAcentral.